GAUGAACGCUGGCGGCGUGCCUAAUACAUGCAAGUCGAGCGAAUGGAUUAAGAGCUUGCUCUUAUGAAGUUAGCGGCGGACGGGUGAGUAACACGUGGGUAACCUGCCCAUAAGACUGGGAUAACUCCGGGAAACCGGGGCUAAUACCGGAUAACAUUUUGAACCGCAUGGUUCGAAAUUGAAAGGCGGCUUCGGCUGUCACUUAUGGAUGGACCCGCGUCGCAUUAGCGAGUUGGUGAGGUAACGGCUCACCAAGGCAACGAGGCGUAGCCGACCUGAGAGGGUGAUCGGCCACACUGGGGCUGAGACACGGCCCAGACUCCUACGGGAGGCAGCAGUAGGGAAUCUUCCGCAAUGGACGAAAGUCUGACGGAGCAACGCCGCGUGAGUGAUGAAGGCUUUCGGGUCGUAAAACUCUGUUGUUAGGGAAGGACAAGUGCUAGUUGAAUAAGCUGGCACCUUGACGGUACCUAACCAGAAAGCCACGGCUAACUACGUGCCAGCCGCCGCAGUAA
RNAcentral lists this ribosomal RNA (515 nucleotides) under uncultured bacterium. RNAcentral describes it as "partial 16S ribosomal RNA". It matches the Rfam family "Bacterial small subunit ribosomal RNA", at positions 28 to 523 of the family's 1533-position model. The record is from RNAcentral.